GAAAUCCUGCAAGUGUUUGGAGCUGAUAAACCCCUCUGGUCUGCACAAACACCCCCCCCCCCCCGUGAUCCUCAAGUCCCUCUACGGGUAAUCACGUCUCUACCGGACCACAAACACACUGAUGAUCUGGAGAAACAGCGCGACUAAACCACAUCAUUCCAAAAGUCAGUCGUACCAGUCUGGAAGGACACGGGGGUUUAAUCGCUUUGUGAUGUGUGUUUGAAAAAGCAGUUUGAUCCACAUUAUUCUUGUGGAGUAAGUGUGUGUAAGAGAAUGAAAGAGCCUGAUUCUGAAUCUAAUAGUCCAGAUAAGUGGAGGAAAAGACUCUGCACAGUGUUUCCUGUGAAUCAGGAAGCAGGAAGUGUGUGGAAGAGGAAGAUUGUGUUUUGGGUCACAGUGGACAAUGAGAGUAAGAGCUUGAAGGAAAGAGGCCUGCGUCAGUGUGAGAGCAGCGGAUGGGGAUUCAGAGAGAGAGAGAGCUGAACGAGAGAAGGCAAGAUGGUCUCUCGUGGCUUCACUGUUCAGUGUGA
Molecule: long non-coding RNA, 530 nt
Organism: Carassius gibelio (silver crucian carp)
Lineage: Eukaryota; Metazoa; Chordata; Actinopteri; Cypriniformes; Cyprinidae
Exons: 3
Source: RefSeq, a predicted model, not a curated record